AUUGAACGCUGGCGGCAGGCCUAACACAUGCAAGUCGAGCGAGCGGCGCACGGGUGUGUAAUGUAUGGGGACUGCCCUAUAGAGGGGGAAAUCUUCUGGAAAGUGUGUCUAAUCCCGCAUACUAUCAGGUCACCCAUAUGGGAUUAGCUAGUAGGUGGUGUAAAGGCUCACCUAGGCGACGAUCUCUAGCUGGUCUGAGAGGAUGAUGAGCCACACUGGGACUGAGACACGGCCCAGACUCCUACGGAGGCAGCAGUGGGGAAUAUUGCACAAUGGGCGCAAGCCUGAUGCAGCCAUGCCGCGUGUAUGAAGAAGGCCUUAGGGUUGUAAAGUACUUUCAGCGGGGAGGCGUUACCGGCAGAAGAAGCACCGGCUAACUCCGUGCCAGCAGCCGCGGUAAUUC
This 403-nucleotide ribosomal RNA is filed under the name uncultured bacterium. Its description in RNAcentral is "partial 16S ribosomal RNA". It matches the Rfam family "Bacterial small subunit ribosomal RNA", at positions 30 to 526 of the family's 1533-position model. The record is from RNAcentral.